AAUAGAUACCCGGGUAGUCCACGCCGUAAACGAUGAGUGCUAAGUGUUAGGGGGUUUCCGCCCCUUAGUGCUGCAGCUAACGCAUUAAGCACUCCGCCUGGGGAGUACGGUCGCAAGACUGAAACUCAAAGGAAUUGACGGGGGCCCGCACAAGCGGUGGAGCAUGUGGUUUAAUUCGAAGCAACGCGAAGAACCUUACCAGGUCUUGACAUCCCAUUGACCGCUAUGGAGACAUGGCUUUCCCUUCGGGGACAGUGGUGACAGGUGGUGCAUGGUUGUCGUCAGCUCGUGUCGUGAGAUGUUGGGUUAAGUCCCGCAACGAGCGCAACCCUUGUUCUUAGUUGCCAUCAUUUAGUUGGGCACUCUAAGGAGACUGCCGGUGACAAACCGGAGGAAGGUGGGGAUGACGUCAAAUCAUCAUGCCCCUUAUGACCUGGGCUACACACGUGCUACAAUGGACGGUACAAACGGUUGCCAACCCGCGAGGGGGAGCUAAUCCGAUAAAACCGUUCUCAGUUCGGAUUGUAGGCUGCAACUCGCCUAU
RNAcentral lists this ribosomal RNA (544 nucleotides) under uncultured bacterium. RNAcentral describes it as "bacterial SSU rRNA". It matches the Rfam family "Bacterial small subunit ribosomal RNA", at positions 777 to 1319 of the family's 1533-position model. The record is from RNAcentral.